Molecule: non-coding RNA, 184 nt
Organism: Lolium perenne
Lineage: Eukaryota; Viridiplantae; Streptophyta; Magnoliopsida; Poales; Poaceae
Source: RefSeq, a predicted model, not a curated record
CAAGAAAAUGGUUUUGGUGCAAGUUCUUAUGCGGAACAUUGGGGCAGAAAUCCUUCAGCUUCCGAAGAAAAUGGUUUUGAUGCAAGUUCUUAUGCGGAACAUUGGGGCAGAAAUCCUUCAGCUUCCGAAGAAAAUGGUUUUGCUGCAAGUUCUUAUGCGGAACAUUGGGGCAGAAAUCCUUCAG